RNAcentral lists this ribosomal RNA (617 nucleotides) under uncultured bacterium. RNAcentral describes it as "bacterial SSU rRNA". The stretch from base 1 to 522 matches the Rfam family "Bacterial small subunit ribosomal RNA", at positions 338 to 873 of the family's 1533-position model. The record is from RNAcentral.
CCUACGGGGCAGCAGUGGGGAAUAUUGCACAAUGGGCGCAAGCCUGAUGCAGCAACGCCGCGUGAGGGACGACGGCCUUCGGGUUGUAAACCUCUUUUAGUAGGGAAGAAGCGAAAGUGACGGUACCUGCAGAAAAAGCACCGGCUAACUACGUGCCAGCAGCCGCGGUAAUACGUAGGGUGCAAGCGUUAUCCGGAAUUAUUGGGCGUAAAGAGCUCGUAGGCGGUUUGUCGCGUCUGCUGUGAAAACUGGAGGCUCAACCUCCAGCCUGCAGUGGGUACGGGCAGACUAGAGUGCGGUAGGGGAGAUUGGAAUUCCUGGUGUAGCGGUGGAAUGCGCAGAUAUCAGGAGGAACACCGAUGGCGAAGGCAGAUCUCUGGGCCGUAACUGACGCUGAGGAGCGAAAGCAUGGGGAGCGAACAGGAUUAGAUACCCUGGUAGUCCAUGCCGUAAACGUUGGGAACUAGAUGUAGGGACCAUUCCACGGUUUCUGUGUCGCNGCUACGACAUACGUUACCCGUCCGUCGGGUAGGUACGGCCGCGACGACGUAAACGUAACGUAAACGGUAAGUUAGUUACGGACGUGAGAGUGCGACGGACGACGACGAGGGAGGAGG